AACGCAUCUUGCGCUUGCUGGUAUUCCGGCAAGCAAGCCUGUUUGAGUGUCAUGAAAAUUAUCAACCAUGGCUUGGGUUUAGGCCCCUGCCUUGGCUUGGAUUUGGGUGUUUGCGGUCUUGUGCUGCUCACCUUAAAAGGAUUAGCUGGACAUGUCGUGAGACUUGGUUCUACUUGGCGUAAUAAGUAUUUCGCUGAGGACAUCCCUUCUGGGGUGCCAGGACUCUUGACAAACGUCUGCUUUCUAACCUCAUAGUUCCCACUCCAGGGACAUGACUUUAUGAUCUGGCCUCAAAUCAGGUAGGACUACCCGCUGAACUUAA
This 322-nucleotide ribosomal RNA is filed under the name uncultured fungus. RNAcentral describes it as "eukaryotic LSU rRNA". The record is from RNAcentral. Lineage: Eukaryota; Fungi.